RNAcentral lists this ribosomal RNA (483 nucleotides) under uncultured bacterium. RNAcentral describes it as "partial 16S ribosomal RNA". It matches the Rfam family "Bacterial small subunit ribosomal RNA", at positions 28 to 523 of the family's 1533-position model. The record is from RNAcentral.
GACGAACGCUGGCGGCGUGCUUAACACAUGCAAGUCGAACGAUGAUGCCCAGCUUGCUGGGUGGAUUAGUGGCGAACGGGUGAGUAACACGUGAGUAACCUGCCCCUGACUCUGGGAUAAGCGUUGGAAACGACGUCUAAUACUGGAUAUGACUGCCGGCCGCAUGGCCUGGUGGUGGAAAGAUUUUUUGGUUGGGGAUGGACUCGCGGCCUAUCAGCCUGUUGGUGAGGUAAUGGCUCACCAAGGCGACGACGGGUAGCCGGCCUGAGAGGGUGACCGGCCACACUGGGACUGAGACACGGCCCAGACUCCUACGGGAGGCAGCAGUGGGGAAUAUUGCACAAUGGGCGAAAGCCUGAUGCAGCAACGCCGCGUGAGGGAUGAUGGCCUUCGGGUUGUAAACCUCUUUUAGUAGGGAAGAAGCGAAAGUGACGGUACCUGCAGAAAAAGCACCGGCUAACUACGUGCCAGCAGCCGCAGUAA